CCUACGGGAGGCAGCAGUGAGGAAUAUUGGUCAAUGGGCGCAAGCCUGAACCAGCCAAGUCGCGUGAGGGAUGACGGUCCUAUGGAUUGUAAACCUCUUUUAUCGGGGAGCAAGGCCCGCCACGUGGGGCGGGAAGGAGAGUACCCGAAGAAAAAGCAGCGGCUAACUCCGUGCCAGCAGCCGCGGUAAUACGGAGGAUGAGAGCGUUAUCCGGAUUUAUUGGGUUUAAAGGGUGCGUAGGCGGAAGGUUAAGUCAGCGGUCAAAUGUCGGGGCUCAACACCGGCCUGCCGUUGAAACUGGUCUUCUUGAGUGAGCGAGAAGUAUGCGGAAUGCGUGGUGUAGCGGUGA
This 349-nucleotide ribosomal RNA is filed under the name uncultured bacterium. RNAcentral's name for it is "partial 16S ribosomal RNA". It matches the Rfam family "Bacterial small subunit ribosomal RNA", at positions 338 to 684 of the family's 1533-position model. The record is from RNAcentral.